Molecule: RNA transcript, 2813 nt
Organism: Brachypodium distachyon (stiff brome)
Lineage: Eukaryota; Viridiplantae; Streptophyta; Magnoliopsida; Poales; Poaceae
Gene name: ABC transporter B family member 25, mitochondrial
Exons: 22
Source: RefSeq, a predicted model, not a curated record
CAAAGGUGCUCGUUCCUACAGAACGUGGUUGUUCCUACCAAAAUCCAUUGUUCCAAACAGGGCCAGUCUUCUUCUGUCGCUGAAUCCGCCGGCCGGCAGAAAGUCCAAAGUCCAACUCCAACUAACUCCCUCCUUCUCCGUCGCCGGGGGCGCCAUGUGGCCUUCCUCCCGCAUCCGCCUUCUCCCGGCCUUCCGGUUCGGAACCUCUACGGCCGCAGCCUUACGCCGUCGGCUCGUCGGAGCCGGCGUGCGGCCCGCGCCGAGAGCUCUGGGAAGACCUCUGCUUGGAGUCACCGGACCAAAUUGUCUGCUUUUUCAUCGGAACGGUGCCCAUUUCGGCCGUCUCAGCUGCUAUCUGCCGCACGGCGCGCGGCCUCGCCCCGACCUGAGAUGGCAUGCGUUCUCCACAUCUGCCAAUGCUGUGGCAGUAAAUGCCCCAAAAAAGGACAUCGAUGAUCAGAUAGCAGAUACGCAGAUCCUCCGAAACCUUGUGAAGUACUUACUGUUGAACAAUAGCCCCGAUUUCCGCUUCAGACUUGUGUUAUCGGUGGGCCUCUUAGUUGGCGCAAAGGUUAUAAAUGUUCAAGUGCCUUUCCUGUUUAAGCUUGCUGUUGAUUGGCUUGCAGCCCUUGCUGGUACUGAAGCCUCAGUAGCAACAUUUACAGAUGCUAAUGCCACCUUGUUGGCUCUCUUUGCAAGCCCAGCAGCUGUUCUGAUUGGAUACGGUAUUGCACGUUCAGGAGCAUCAGCUUGUACAGAAUUGCGCAAUGCUUUAUUUUCUAAAGUGACCUUGAGAGCCACCCGCUCAGUCUGCAGGAUGGCAUUUCUUCACUUGCAUCAGCUUGAUCUUGGUUAUCAUCUCAGCCGUCAAACUGGUGCUCUAAAUCGCACAAUUGACCGAGGCAGCCGUGCCAUAAAUAGCAUUCUUACAGUAAUGGUAUUCAAUAUUGUUCCCACAAUACUAGAGAUUGGUAUGGUGUCAAGUAUUCUGGCCUACAAGUUUGGUCCAACUUUUGCUUGGAUUACUUCAGCUUCUGUUGCUACCUAUAUUGCUUUUACUUUGGCUGUCACACAGUGGCGGACUAAGUUCAGGACGGCCAUGAAUAAAGCUGAUAAUGCUUCUAGUACCGUGGCAGUUGAUUCCCUUCUUAAUUAUGAGACUGUGAAAUACUUCAAGAACGAACGAUUUGAAGUGGAGAAGUAUGACAAGUAUUUAAAACAAUAUGAGGAUGCUGCACUCAAAACCCAAAGUAGCCUUGCCUACCUUGACUUUGGUCAAAAUGUCAUAUUGAGCUCGGCUUUAUCCGCAGCAAUGGUUUUGAGCUCAUAUGGUGUCAUGAGUGGUGCUCUAACUGUUGGUGAUUUGGUCAUGGUUAAUGGACUUCUAUUCCAGCUCUCAUGGCCGCUUAAUUUCCUUGGGGGUGUCUAUCGAGAAUUUAGACAAAGUCUUAUUGACAUGAAGUCCAUGUUUCAGUUGCUUGAGGAAAAACCUGGAAUAAAGGAUGAGUCUCACGCAGAACCGUUGCAGUUCAAAGGAGGAUGCAUUGAAUUUGAGAACGUGCAUUUUGGGUAUGUACCAGAAAGAAAGAUUCUUGACGGUGCCUCUUUCAUUGUACCUGCUGGAAAAAGUGUGGCAAUUGUUGGAACUAGUGGCAGCGGAAAAUCAACCAUAUUUAGGCUUCUCUUCAGGCUUUUUGAUUCGACAUCAGGAAAGAUACGUAUAGAUGGACAAGACAUCCGGGGAGUCACACUAGAGAGUCUUCGGGAUUGUCUUGGUGUUGUACCACAGGAUACGGUACUUUUCAAUGACACGAUUAAGCAUAAUAUACAGUAUGGGCGGUUAUCAGCACAAGAUGAGGAGGUUUAUGAUGCUGCUCGGCGUGCUUCCAUUCAUGAUACGAUUAUGAACUUUCCUGACAAGUAUGACACAGUUGUUGGAGAGCGAGGAUUGAAGUUGAGUGGAGGUGAGAAGCAACGUGUAUCAAUUGCUCGUGUAUUCUUGAAGGAGCCUUCCAUUCUAUUAUGUGAUGAAGCUACAAGUGCUCUUGAUAGCACUACUGAAGCAUCAAUUCUGAAUUCCCUGAUGUCUUUAUCCACUGAUCGAACCUCAAUUUUUAUCGCUCAUCGACUCACAACUGCAAUGCAGUGCGAUGAGAUCGUUGUCUUGGAGAAUGGAUCCGUAGUGGAACAGGGCCCGCAUGAUUUUCUUUUGUCGAAGGGCGGGCGAUAUACUGAACUAUGGUCACAGCAGAACAACAGUGAUGCCAAUGAUGCUUCUGCUGUCUAGGAGUUUGAUAAACCAAAUAUGUUUUCCCUUUGCAAGGGGAACAAUAAUUUUGUACACUUUAGAAUAAAUUUUCCCAUUUCAAAGAUGGUUGCUGAUUAUUGACGAGUUGCUGCUGACUUGCACUUUGGAGAAAGCUAGGCACGAGCACUGAAGAUUGGUGGAUCACGGCCCGGAGAGGAGCACCUAAACGCCUGCGGAGAGAUUUCGACACUUUCACGAUUUUGGUCCAUUGGCGGAUUUGGAAAGAGCGCAAGGCCAUGAUUUUUCACUCAGAGACCAGCACCAUCGAUCGCAUCUUCGACCUCAUCAUUGAUGAUCUUCACUCCUGGAGGGUGGUUGGCUGCAUCAUCGCUUUCUAAGGGCUCCCUGUCCCAUUUGUAAUCUGUAGUUUUUAGAGGCUUCAGUUAGUGCCUGUGGUGUUUGCUCUUUGAGGUUGUUUUCGUGCUGCAAAUUCUCUUUGUAGUUUGACGUUGUACUGUCUUUGUUUCUAUCUAAUAAAAUUCGGUCUCCGGCCCUUCGAGAUUUA